RNAcentral lists this ribosomal RNA (466 nucleotides) under uncultured bacterium. RNAcentral describes it as "bacterial SSU rRNA". It matches the Rfam family "Bacterial small subunit ribosomal RNA", at positions 348 to 806 of the family's 1533-position model. The record is from RNAcentral.
GCAGCAGUAGGGAAUCUUCCACAAUGGGCGCAAGCCUGAUGGAGCAACACCGCGUGAGUGAAGAAGGGUUUCGGCUCGUAAAGCUCUGUUGUUGGAGAAGAACGUGCGUGAGAGUAACUGUUCACGCAGUGACGGUAUCCAACCAGAAAGUCACGGCUAACUACGUGCCAGCAGCCGCGGUAAUACGUAGGUGGCAAGCGUUAUCCGGAUUUAUUGGGCGUAAAGCGAGCGCAGGCGGUUGCUUAGGUCUGAUGUGAAAGCCUUCGGCUUAACCGAAGAAGUGCAUCGGAAACCGGGCGACUUGAGUGCAGAAGAGGACAGUGGAACUCCAUGUGUAGCGGUGGAAUGCGUAGAUAUAUGGAAGAACACCAGUGGCGAAGGCGGCUGUCUGGUCUGCAACUGACGCUGAGGCUCGAAAGCAUGGGUAGCGAACAGGAUUAGAUACCCUGGUAGUCCAUGCCGUAAA